AAGAGAUCAUGCCCUCACGGGUAGACCUCCCACCCUUUGUAUACUAUACUUUGUUGCUUUGGCGAACCAGCCGGAGGACCUAAAACUCUGAAUUAUAAUGCCGUCUGAGUACUAUAUAAUAGUUA
RNAcentral lists this unclassified non-coding RNA (125 nucleotides) under uncultured Ascomycota. RNAcentral's name for it is "sequence contains ITS1". The record is from RNAcentral. Lineage: Eukaryota; Fungi; Ascomycota.